Long non-coding RNA from Andrographis paniculata, 271 nucleotides. RefSeq lists it as uncharacterized. NCBI's taxonomy places the organism in Eukaryota, Viridiplantae, Streptophyta, Magnoliopsida, Lamiales, Acanthaceae. The record is from RefSeq and is a predicted model, not a curated record. The transcript is spliced from 3 exons.
UCCCAUUAAUCGCAACUCUUCUAAAGAAUCAACGAUGUCAAAUGAUCCUAUCAUUCAACUGCCUUGCGUUCCGAGGAGGGUCGCCCACCUCAAUGAAUCUUUACAGAAACCUUAUCGAGAUUCGAUUCGAAGGAUAAGAUUGUAGAGGGUCUGGAUACAAUGUCUAAAAAAUUCAAGAAAAAAGCUUUGGUCAGUGGAAGGCCAUCCGGGGACAUGCAUUGCUUAAUGCAUUUGUUUUUUGAUAAGUUCCACAACGAGAAAUGCGGUGUGC